GGGGAUUUUGCACAAUGGUAGAGCUCUUGCUUAGCAUGCAAGAGGCCCUGGUUGAAUCUCCA
Molecule: transfer RNA, 62 nt
Filed under: Heterocephalus glaber (naked mole-rat)
Lineage: Eukaryota; Metazoa; Chordata; Mammalia; Rodentia; Bathyergidae
Rfam family: tRNA
About the family: Transfer RNA (tRNA) molecules are approximately 80 nucleotides in length. Their secondary structure includes four short double-helical elements and three loops (D, anti-codon, and T loops).
Source: Rfam by way of RNAcentral